GUCCUGGCCCUAAACGGUGCAUGUUUGCUGUAAGAGGAAUCGACCCCUUUUGUGGCGAAGCUAACGCGUUAAACGUGCCGCCUGGGAAGUACGGCCGCAAGGUUAAACUCAAAGAAUUGACGGGGCCUGCACAAGCGGUGGAGUAUGUGGCUCAAUUCGAUGCAACGCGAAGAACCUUACCUGGCCUUGACAUGUGCGUAGUAGAAGGGUGAAAGCCUGACGAGGUAGCAAUACCAGCGCACACAGGUGCUGCAUGGCUGUCGU
This 264-nucleotide ribosomal RNA is filed under the name uncultured bacterium. RNAcentral's name for it is "partial 16S ribosomal RNA". It matches the Rfam family "Bacterial small subunit ribosomal RNA", at positions 793 to 1055 of the family's 1533-position model. The record is from RNAcentral.